RNAcentral lists this ribosomal RNA (465 nucleotides) under uncultured bacterium. RNAcentral's name for it is "partial 16S ribosomal RNA". It matches the Rfam family "Bacterial small subunit ribosomal RNA", at positions 339 to 795 of the family's 1533-position model. The record is from RNAcentral.
CUACGGGUGGCUGCAGUGGGGAAUAUUGCGCAAUGGGCGAAAGCCUGACGCAGCAACGCCGUGUGAGGGAUGAAGGCUUUCGGGUCGUAAACCUCUGUCGGAAGGGAAGAACGGGCAUUGGUCUAAUAGGCCUUUGUUUUGACGGUACCUUUAGAGGAAGCACCGGCUAACUCCGUGCCAGCAGCCGCGGUAAUACGGAGGGUGCAGGCGUUAUUCGGAAUUACUGGGCGUAAAGCGCACGUAGGCCGUUUUGUAAGUCAGGGGUGAAAUCCCACGGCUCAACCGUGGAACUGCCUUUGAAACUGCAGGACUUGAAUCCUGGAGAGGGUGGCGGAAUUCCUGGUGUAGGAGUGAAAUCCGUAGAUAUCAGGAGGAACACCGGUGGCGAAGGCGGCCACCUGGACAGGUAUUGACGCUGAGGUGCGAAAGUGUGGGGAGCAAACAGGAUUAGAUACCCGUGUAGUC